GGGCCAAAUUAAUUACUAAAAAUUUUUUAAAAAAAUAAUUGAUUGAGAAUCUAUCUAUAGAUGCACAUGGGUUAAUCGAGCCAUACUCGAAUCCAUAUGCAAUCUGUGUGGAUUCUAAUACCCACUAAAGAAUUAAGAUAAUUUUUGUUAAAAAAUGUGUCUCAAAAUCAAUCAUCAACCUGUUAUCAGUUAUGCUAAUUGAUGUAAUUGUAUAUGAAU
RNAcentral lists this long non-coding RNA (219 nucleotides) under Elaeis guineensis (African oil palm). RNAcentral's name for it is "long non-coding RNA (EGUI_LNC039411)". Lineage: Eukaryota; Viridiplantae; Streptophyta; Magnoliopsida; Arecales; Arecaceae. The record is from RNAcentral.